This 444-nucleotide ribosomal RNA is filed under the name Mesorhizobium sp. RNAcentral describes it as "partial 23S ribosomal RNA". It matches the Rfam family "Bacterial large subunit ribosomal RNA", at positions 2504 to 2925 of the family's 2925-position model. The record is from RNAcentral. Lineage: Bacteria; Pseudomonadati; Pseudomonadota; Alphaproteobacteria; Hyphomicrobiales; Phyllobacteriaceae.
AUCGACGGCGGUGUUUGGCACCUCGAUGUCGGCUCAUCACAUCCUGGGGCUGAAGCCGGUCCCAAGGGUAUGGCUGUUCGCCAUUUAAAGUGGUACGCGAGCUGGGUUUAGAACGUCGUGAGACAGUUCGGUCCCUAUCUGCCGUGGACGUUUGAGAUUUGAGAGGGGCUGCUCCUAGUACGAGAGGACCGGAGUGGACGAACCUCUGGUGUUCCGGUUGUCACGCCAGUGGCAUUGCCGGGUAGCUAUGUUCGGAAAAGAUAACCGCUGAAAGCAUCUAAGCGGGAAACUUGCCUCAAGAUGAGAUCUCACUGGAGCCUUGAGCUCCCUGAAGGGCCGUCGAAGACUACGACGUUGAUAGGCAGGGUGUGUAAGCGCUGUGAGGCGUUGAGCUAACCUGUACUAAUUGCCCGUGAGGCUUGACCAUAUAACACCCAAGCAAUU